This 2008-nucleotide ribosomal RNA is filed under the name marine metagenome. Its description in RNAcentral is "bacterial LSU rRNA". It matches the Rfam family "Bacterial large subunit ribosomal RNA", at positions 941 to 2925 of the family's 2925-position model. The record is from RNAcentral.
AAACCCUAUCAAACUCCGAAUACCAGAGAUAGUAGCAUGGGAGUCAGACUAUGGGUGCUAAGAUCCGUAGUCGAAAGGGAAACAACCCAGAUCGCAAUCUAAGGUCCCUAAAUCUAGACUAAGUGGUUAAGGAUGUAAAUUUUCAUAGACAGCCAGGAGGUAGGCUUAGAAGCAGCCACCCUUUAAAGACAGCGUAACAGCUCACUGGUCGAUGAAAAUUUGCGCCGAAAAUGAAUCGGGGCUAAGUCUAGUACCGAAGAUGCGGAUUGUAUAUUUAUAUACAGUGGUAGAGGAGCGUUCUUAGUGGAAUGAAGCAUUACCGUAAGGAGAUGUGGACUGCUAAGAAGUGAGAAUCCUGGCAUGAGUAGCGACAAAAGUGGUGAGAAUCCACUUCACCGUAAGCGUAAGGGUUCCUGGGCAAGGCUCGUCCUCCCAGGGUUAGUCGGGACCUAAGGCGAGGCCGAAAGGCGUAGUCGAUGGAAAACAGGUUAAUAUUCCUGUACCACCUAUUGUGAGUGAUGGGGUGACGGAGAAGGAUAGAUCAGCCAAGUGUCGGAUUACUUGGUUCAAGCAUGUAGAAGUAAGGAAUAGGCAAAUCCGUUCCUUUUUAACUUCGAGACGUGAGUUACGAGAGACCUAGUCUCAUAAAGUGAUUGAUUCCAUGCUUCCUAGAAAAACCUCUAAAUGUUGAACAAUAGGUGCUCGUACUGUAAACGGACACACGUACGCGGGUAGAGUAUACCAAGGUGUUUGAGAUAAUUAUGGCUAAGGAACUCGGCAAAAUAGCUCCGUAACUUCGGAAGAAGGAGUGCCUAUAUUAGGUGAAAGCUCUUGCAGCUGGAGCCGAAAUAGGUGGCACUGAAAUGGUGGAAGCGACUGUUUACCAAAAACACAGGCCUGUGCUAACCCGCAAGGGGAUGUAUACGGGCUGACGCCUGCCCGGUGCUGGACGGUUAAGGGGAUGGGUUAUCCUUCGGGAGAAGCUUAGAACCGAAGCCCCAGUAAACGGCGGCCGUAACUAUAACGGUCCUAAGGUAGCGAAAUUCCUUGUCGUCUAAUUAGCGACCCGCAUGAAUGGCGUAACGACUUCUAUGCUGUCUCGGCCAUAAUCUCAGCGAAAUUGUAGUGCUGGUGAAGAUGCCAGCUUCCCGUUGUGGGACGGAAAGACCCCGUGCACCUUUACUAUAACCUAGCACUGGAUUUUGAUGAUAAAUGCGUAGGAUAGGUGGGAGACUUUGAAGAUUCGAUUUCGGUUGGAUCUGAGUCGUUGGUGAAAUACCACCCUUUUACUGUUAGAAUCCUAACUGUAAUCCGUUAUCCGGAUUAAGGACAAUGUUAGGCGGGUAGUUUGACUGGGGCGGUUGACUCCUAAAGAGUAACGGAGUCGCUCAAAGGUUCUCUCAGCCUGAUUGGAAACCAGGCGUCGAGUGUAAUGGCACAAGAGAGCUUGACUGUGAGAUCGACAGAUCGAGCAGGUACGAAAGUAGGACAUAGUGACCCGGUGCCUCCAUGUGGGAGGGGCAUCGAUCAUCGGAUAAAAGGUACGCCGGGGAUAACAGAUUAAUCGCGCCCAAGAGUUCACAUCGACGGCGCGGAUUGAUACCUCGAUGUCGGCUCAUCGCAUCCUGGGGCUGAAGAAGGUCCCAAGGGUUAGGCUGUUCGCCUAUUAAAGCGGUACGCGAGCUGGGUUCAGAACGUCGUGAGACAGUUCGGUCCCUAUCUACAACGGGCGAAGGAAAAUUGAGAGGGCUUGCUCCUAGUACGAGAGGACCGGAGUGAACAAACCUCUAGUGUAUGAGUUGUUGUGCCAACAGCAGUGCUCAGUAGCUACGUUUGGAAAGGAUAACCGCUGAAAGCAUCUUAAGUGGGAAGCCUGCCUCAAGAUUAAUUUUCCCGAACCAUUAGGUUCCUAAAGAUCACUCGAAGACUACGAGUUUGAUAGGCACAGAGUGUAAGUCCUGUAAGGGAUUCAGCUAAUGUGUACUAAUCGAUCGUGAGCCUUUACUAC